RNAcentral lists this long non-coding RNA (269 nucleotides) under Crocodylus porosus (Australian saltwater crocodile). Its description in RNAcentral is "lncRNA (ENSCPRG00005011931.1)". The record is from RNAcentral. Lineage: Eukaryota; Metazoa; Chordata; Crocodylia; Crocodylidae.
UCAUCCCCCUUUUAUAUUUAAAAGUCUCUUGAACAGCUUGUCUCCUUAAACUCAAAAAAAAAAAAAAAUCAGGUCUCUCUAUGCGAGGAAAGUUGCAAGGACUGUCUGAAUCAUGGAACUGCUAGUUUUCUGACAACCUUCUUAUCUCAGAGGGCUAUGGGGCAAAAUUCUAGUGUUGUUGUAUUAUUCUGCUCUGAGUAGUCCUCGUUUAUGAUGGAAUCACUUCUACACUGACAAAUUCACAUAACAGAACAGAUAACGUUUAUAUA